GUGGGGAAUAUUGGACAAUGGGCGAAAGCCUGAUCCAGCCAUGCCGCGUGUGUGAAGAAGGUCUUCGGAUUGUAAAGCACUUUAAGUUGGGAGGAAGGGCAGUAAGUUAAUACCUUGCUGUUUUGACGUUACCGACAGAAUAAGCACCGGCUAACUUCGUGCCAGCAGCCGCGGUAAUACGAAGGGUGCAAGCGUUAAUCGGAAUUACUGGGCGUAAAGCGCGCGUAGGUGGUUUUGUAAGUUGGAGGUGAAAUCCCCGGGCUCAACCUGGGAACUGCCUCCAAAACUGCAUGACUAGAGUACGGUAGAGGGUAGUGGAAUUUCCUGUGUAGCUGUGAAAUGCGUAGAUAUAGGAAGGAACACCAGUGGCGAAGGCGACUACCUGGACUGAUACUGACACUGAGGUGCGAAAGCGUGGGGAGCAAACAGGAUUAGAUACCCGUGUAGUCC
This 450-nucleotide ribosomal RNA is filed under the name uncultured bacterium. Its description in RNAcentral is "partial 16S ribosomal RNA". It matches the Rfam family "Bacterial small subunit ribosomal RNA", at positions 354 to 796 of the family's 1533-position model. The record is from RNAcentral.